CUCGCCCCCGUGGACUGCAAAACCUUGAGAAGAACGAAUGAAGAAUAACUUUAUCAAGUGAUGCUGGUAGAAGGAAAGCCUAGCUCUCUUACUGGAAAAUCUGUCAACUCUCUUCCUGUUUCCCGAGUUGGGAAAAAUAGGAAAAUGACCCUGGAAAUCCUGAAGUGCACAAAGGGUCUAAGUUACCACAGCAUAAAAAUGUCAGGAGUUUAGGAGCCGCUGAACAAAU
This is a non-coding RNA of Microcebus murinus (gray mouse lemur), 229 nucleotides long. The record is from RefSeq and is a predicted model, not a curated record. Lineage: Eukaryota; Metazoa; Chordata; Mammalia; Primates; Cheirogaleidae.